Molecule: ribosomal RNA, 636 nt
Filed under: Anthaxia hungarica
Lineage: Eukaryota; Metazoa; Arthropoda; Insecta; Coleoptera; Buprestidae
Description: eukaryotic LSU rRNA
Rfam family: Eukaryotic large subunit ribosomal RNA
Source: RNAcentral
GGAGUCUAGCAUGUGCGCGAGUCAUUGGGACGAUGCGAAACCUAAAGGCGAAAUGAAAGUGAAGGCGCGCCUAGCGCGCGCCGAGGGAGGAUGGGUCGCGCUCGUCGCGGCCUCGCACUCCCGGGGCGUUUCGUUCUCAUCGCGAGAAGAGGCGCACCCAGAGCGUACACGCUGGGACCCGAAAGAUGGUGAACUAUGCCUGGUCAGGACGAAGUCAGGGGAAACCCUGAUGGAGGUCCGUAGCGAUUCUGACGUGCAAAUCGAUCGUCGGAACUGGGUAUAGGGGCGAAAGACUAAUCGAACCAUCUAGUAGCUGGUUCCCUCCGAAGUUUCCCUCAGGAUAGCUGGCGCUCGCUUUGCGAGUCUCAUCCGGUAAAGCGAAUGAUUAGAGGCAUUGGGGUCGAAACGGCCUCAACCUAUUCUCAAACUUUAAAUGGGUGAGAACUCCGGCUUGCUUAAACGGUGAAGCCGCGAGUUAUUUGAAAGGAUCAGGGUGCCAAGUGGGCCACUUUUGGUAAGCAGAACUGGCGCUGUGGGAUGAACCAAACGCAGAGUUAAAGCGCCCAAAUCGACGCUUAUGGGAUACCAUGAAAGGCGUUGGUAACUUAAGACAGCAGGACGGUGGCCAUGGAAGUC